CUACGGAAGGCAGCAGUAAGGGAUAUUGCACAAUGGGCGAAAGCCUGAUGCAGCAACGCCGCGUGCACGAUGAAGGCCUUCGGGUCGUAAAGUGCUUUUCUGGGAGAAGAGGAAGGACGGUACCCCAGGAAGAAGUGUCGGCUAACUACGUGCCAGCAGCCGCGGUAAAACGUAGGACGCGAGCGUUAUCCGGAGUUACUGGGCGUAAAGGGCGGGUAGGCGGCGUAUCAAGUUGGUUGUGAAAUCUCCUGGCUAAACUGGGAGGGUGCAAUCGAAACUGAUAGGCUAGAGGACAGCAGAGGGCCGUGGAAUUCCGCGUGGAGUGGUGAAAUGCGUAGAGAUCCGGAGGAACACCAGAGGCGAAAGCGGCGGCCUGGGCUGUAACUGACGCUGAACCGCGAAAGCCAGGGGAGCGAACGGGAUUAGAAACCCCUGUAGUCCG
This 442-nucleotide ribosomal RNA is filed under the name uncultured bacterium. RNAcentral's name for it is "bacterial SSU rRNA". It matches the Rfam family "Bacterial small subunit ribosomal RNA", at positions 339 to 797 of the family's 1533-position model. The record is from RNAcentral.